RNAcentral lists this ribosomal RNA (253 nucleotides) under uncultured bacterium. Its description in RNAcentral is "partial 16S ribosomal RNA". It matches the Rfam family "Bacterial small subunit ribosomal RNA", at positions 524 to 776 of the family's 1533-position model. The record is from RNAcentral.
GACGUAGGGUGCGAGCGUUGUCCGGAUUUAUUGGGCGUAAAGAGCUCGUAGGCGGCUUGUUGCGUCAGCUGUGAAAACCCGCGGCUUAACCGUGGGCCUGCAGCUGAUACGGGCAAGCUAGAGUUCGGUAGGGGAGACUGGAAUUCCUGGUGUAGCGGUGAAAUGCGCAGAUAUCAGGAGGAACACCGGUGGCGAAGGCGGGUCUCUGGGCCGAUACUGACGCUGAGGAGCGAAAGCGUGGGGAGCGAACAGG